RNAcentral lists this ribosomal RNA (373 nucleotides) under uncultured bacterium. Its description in RNAcentral is "bacterial SSU rRNA". It matches the Rfam family "Bacterial small subunit ribosomal RNA", at positions 525 to 896 of the family's 1533-position model. The record is from RNAcentral.
ACGUAGGGGGCAAGCGUUGUCCGGAGUUACUGGGCGUAAAGCGCCCGCAGGCGGUCUUCUAAGUUCAGACUGACAAUCCCCAGCUUAACUGGGGAGGGUGUAUGAAAACUGGGAGACUUGAGGGAUAGAGAGGGACAUGGAAUUCCGGGUGGAGUGGUGAAAUGCGUAGAUAUCCGGAGGAACACCAAAGGCGAAGGCAAUGUCCUGGCUAUUUCCUGACGCUGAGGGGCGAAAGCUAGGGGAGCGAACGGGAUUAGAUACCCCGGUAGUCCUAGCCGUAAACGAUGACCACUAGAUGUUCGGGGUAUCGACCCCCUGAGUAUCGUAGCAAACGCGAUAAGUGGUCCGCCUGGGGAGUACGGUCGCAAGAUUA